CACGUAGGCGGACUUUCAAGUCAGGGGUGAAAUCCCGGGGCUCAACCUCGGAAUUGCCUUUGAUACUGUGAGUCUCGAGUCCGGAAGAGGUGGGUGGAAUUCCUAGUGUAGAGGUGAAAUUCGUAGAUAUUAGGAAGAACACCGGUGGCGAAGGCGGCCCACUGGUCCGGUACUGACGCUGAGGCUCGAAAGCACGGGUAGCAAAC
RNAcentral lists this ribosomal RNA (206 nucleotides) under uncultured bacterium. RNAcentral describes it as "partial 16S ribosomal RNA". It matches the Rfam family "Bacterial small subunit ribosomal RNA", at positions 568 to 773 of the family's 1533-position model. The record is from RNAcentral.